This is a non-coding RNA of Acanthosepion pharaonis, 113 nucleotides long. NCBI's taxonomy places the organism in Eukaryota, Metazoa, Mollusca, Cephalopoda, Sepiida, Sepiidae. The record is from the annotation of a GenBank genome assembly.
UACGGCCACAUUACAUUGAAACCCCGGAUCCCGUACGAUCACCAAAGUUAACCACUAUUGAGUCUAGUCAGUAUCUAAAUGGGUGACUGCUCAAGAAUAUCAGGUGUUGUAAG